RNAcentral lists this ribosomal RNA (465 nucleotides) under uncultured bacterium. RNAcentral's name for it is "bacterial SSU rRNA". It matches the Rfam family "Bacterial small subunit ribosomal RNA", at positions 329 to 792 of the family's 1533-position model. The record is from RNAcentral.
GACCAGACUCCUACGGGAGGCAGCAGUGAGGAAUAUUGGUCAAUGGCCGUAAGGCUGGACCAGCCAAGUAGCGUGAGGGAAGACUGCCCUAUGGGUUGUAAACCUCUUUUAUGCGGGGAUAAAGGUGUCCACGUGUGGAUGUUUGCAGGUACCGCAUGAAUAAGGACCGGCUAAUUCCGUGCCAGCAGCCGCGGUAAUACGGAAGGUCCGGGCGUUAUCCGGAUUUAUUGGGUUUAAAGGGUGCGUAGGCGGGCUGUUAAGUCGGGGGUAAACGCCCGGGGCCCACCCCCGGCGAGCCGUUGAAACUGGCUGUCUUGAGAUGUCGAGAGGUAUGCGGAAUGCGCAGUGUAGCGGUGAAAUGCGUAGAUAUUAGGAGGAACACCAGUGGCGAAGGCGGCUUACUGGACUGUAACUGACGUUGAGGCUCGAAAGCGUGGGGAGCAAACAGGAUUAGAUACCCUGGUA